UACGGGGGGGGCAAGCGUUGUUCGGAAUUACUGGGCGUAAAGGGCUCGUAGGUGGCCAACUAAGUCAGACGUGAAAUCCCUCGGCUUAACCGGGGAACUGCGUCUGAUACUGGAUGGCUUGAGUUCGGGAGAGGGAUGCGGAAUUCCAGGUGUAGCGGUGAAAUGCGUAGAUAUCUGGAAGAACAUCGGUGGCGAAGGCGCUCUGCUGGACCAUAACUGACACUCAGGGACGAAAGCUAGGGGAGCGAAUGGG
RNAcentral lists this ribosomal RNA (253 nucleotides) under uncultured bacterium. RNAcentral describes it as "partial 16S ribosomal RNA". It matches the Rfam family "Bacterial small subunit ribosomal RNA", at positions 524 to 776 of the family's 1533-position model. The record is from RNAcentral.